AGCAGUAGCCGCGGUAAUACAGAGGGUGCAAGCGUUAAUCGGAAUUACUGGGCGUAAAGCGCGCGUAGGUGGUUUGUUAAGUUGGAUGUGAAAUCCCCGGGCUCAACCUGGGAACUGCAUCCAAAACUGGCAGGCUAGAGCAGGGCAGAGGGUGGUGGAAUUUCCCGUGUAGCGGUGAAAUGCGUAGAUAUAGGAAGGAACACCAGUGGCGAAGGCGACCACCUGGGCUCAUACUGACACUGAGGUGCGAAAGCGUGGGGAGCAAACAGGAUUAGAUACCCCUGUAGUCCCUGUCUCUUAUAC
Molecule: ribosomal RNA, 303 nt
Filed under: uncultured bacterium
Lineage: Bacteria
Description: partial 16S ribosomal RNA
Rfam family: Bacterial small subunit ribosomal RNA
Source: RNAcentral